Molecule: ribosomal RNA, 480 nt
Filed under: Pontastacus leptodactylus (narrow-clawed crayfish)
Lineage: Eukaryota; Metazoa; Arthropoda; Malacostraca; Decapoda; Astacidae
Description: Astacus leptodactylus (narrow-clawed crayfish) partial large subunit ribosomal RNA
Rfam family: Bacterial large subunit ribosomal RNA
Source: RNAcentral
ACCUGCCCAUUGGAAUCUAAAAGGCCGCGGUAUUAUGACCGUGUAAGGUAGCAUAAUCAUUAGUCUUUUAAUUGAAGGCUGGUAUGAAUGGUUGGACAAGAAAUAAGCUGUCUUAAAUAAAAAUAUUGAAUUUAACUUUUAAGUGAAAAGGCUUAAAUUUUCUAAGGGGACGAUAAGACCCUAUAAAACUUUAUAUUUUAAAAUAAUAAUUAAUUUUAUAUAGAGGAUUUAUUUUUAAAUAUUUUAUUGGGGUGAUAAAGAUAAAAUGUAAGAUAACUGUCUUUUUUUUUUACAAGUAAUAUUUGAGUAAAAGAUCUUAACAAAGGAAAUAAGAGAUUAAGUUACUUUAGGGAUAACAGCGUAAUUUUCUUUAAGAGUUCUUAUCGACAAGAAAGUUUGCGACCUCGAUGUUGAAUUAAAAGUUCUUUAUAGAGUAGAUAUUAUAAUAGAGGGUCUGUUCGACCCUUAAAAUUUUACGUG